CCUACGGGUGGCAGCAGUCGGGAAUAUUGCGCAAUGGAGGAAACUCUGACGCAGUGACGCCGCGUGCAGGAAGAAGGUUUUCGGAUUGUAAACUGCUUUAGACAGGGAAGAAAAAAGACAGUACCUGUAGAAUAAGCUUCGGCUAACUACGUGCCAGCAGCCGCGGUAAUACGGAGGGAGCAAGCGUUAGCCGGAUUUAUUGGGUGUAAAGGGUGCGUAGGCGGAGAAGCAAGUUAGUUGUGAAAUCCCUCGGCUUAACUGAGGAACUGCAACUAAAACUAGUUGCCUUGAGUACUGGAGAGGAAGGUGGAAUGCCUGGUGUAGCGGUGAAAUGCGUAGAUAUUAGGAGGAACACCGGUGGCGAAGGCGACUUUCUGGACAAUAACUGACGUUGAAGCACGAAAGUGUGGGGAGCAAACAGGAUUAGAUACCCCGGUAGUC
RNAcentral lists this ribosomal RNA (441 nucleotides) under uncultured bacterium. Its description in RNAcentral is "partial 16S ribosomal RNA". It matches the Rfam family "Bacterial small subunit ribosomal RNA", at positions 338 to 795 of the family's 1533-position model. The record is from RNAcentral.